RNAcentral lists this ribosomal RNA (575 nucleotides) under Exophiala spinifera. RNAcentral's name for it is "partial large subunit ribosomal RNA". It matches the Rfam family "Eukaryotic large subunit ribosomal RNA", at positions 83 to 669 of the family's 3401-position model. Lineage: Eukaryota; Fungi; Ascomycota; Eurotiomycetes; Chaetothyriales; Herpotrichiellaceae. The record is from RNAcentral.
GUAACGGCGAGUGAAGCGGCAACAGCUCAAAUUUGAAAUCUGGCCUCUUUGGGGUCCGAGUUGUAAUUUGUAGAGGAUGUUUCGGGUACCGCCUCGGUUUAAAUUUCUUGGAACAGAAUGUCAGAGAGGGUGAGAAUCCCGUCUUGGACCGGCGGUAGGGCCCAUGUGAAACUCCUUCGACGAGUCGAGUUGUUUGGGAAUGCAGCUCAAAAUGGGUGGUAAAUUUCAUCUAAAGCUAAAUAUUGGCCAGAGACCGAUAGCGCACAAGUAGAGUGAUCGAAAGAUGAAAAGAACUUUGAAAAGAGAGUUAAACAGUAUGUGAAAUUGUUGAAAGGGAAGCGCUUGCAACCAGACUUGAGCGCGGCGGUUCCCCCUUCCUUUUGGUUGGGUUACUCCGCCGUGUCCAGGCCAACAUCGGUUCUGGGGGUCGGUUAAAGGCCCGGGGAAUGUACCUACUCCUUCGGGGGUAGACUUAUAGCCCCGGGUGUCAUGCGACCACCCGGGACCGAGGAACGCGCUUCGGCUCGGAUGUUGGCGUAAUGGUUGUCAGCGACCCGUCUUGAAACACGGACCAA